This is a long non-coding RNA of Pecten maximus, 770 nucleotides long. RefSeq lists it as uncharacterized. The transcript is spliced from 3 exons. The record is from RefSeq and is a predicted model, not a curated record. NCBI's taxonomy places the organism in Eukaryota, Metazoa, Mollusca, Bivalvia, Pectinida, Pectinidae.
UACAAUACAACACUAAGUGGACAUAAUAUGCCUUAUAGGUGAGGUCAAGAUAUAUAACACACUACGGCUUACCUUGACAUCGCUAGUGUUUGAAAAUACGAUAAUAGAUCGAUAGUUUGAAAGAUGGCUGACGUGACAGCUACACCUGAACCGCCAUACGUAGACGGAUUUGUCAAAGACGGGCUUGAAAAAGUCAAAGACGUUUUCAGGUAUUCCGGUUGUUUCAACAACAAUGACUUGUAGACAGAUGGUUAACAAUGCAUAUCUAUGGGGCACGGGACUGCUGCCUCCCUCACUUAAUUUCAUAGUAUGGGGGAGUUCAUAACGGCAUGAGGCUGUUGUCAGAGAAGGCUAUCCAAAGACAACUGGUGCCCAAGUCCUACGUCAAAGAUGCAGUGUAUGUAGGGUUGAUGUUUAAUCUUGGAGCCAUGGUAUUGGCGUCAGUGCACGAAGGUCAACCAAUUCGGAGGUCAAACGGCCAUUGCAGAUCCUACCCACAAGAUCUCCUUUGCACAGACGACCAACUAUUUAAACCCGGACAUACAUGUACAGGAGGAAUCUCGCUGGAAUGAUCUCAGUAACGCUCUGUACGAAUGUGUCUAUAAGAUAAAGAACAUUUCCGCCAAACGGACAAUCUAUGAAUCCUCUCACCAAAUGAAAGCAGCACUGGACUCACAAAAUGCAUAUUGUUGCCCUUCUAUGCGAAUGUCUAGCCAUAAAUACUUCAUUAAAUCAAAUGUUUUUUUGUAAGAAGAAAUAAAGUUACACAU